UGGGGAAUAUUGCACAAUGGGGGAAACCCUGAUGCAGCGACGCCGCGUGAGUGAAGAAGUAUUUCGGUAUGUAAAGCUCUAUCAGCAGGGAAGAAAAUGACGGUACCUGACUAAGAAGCCCCGGCUAACUACGUGCCAGCAGCCGCGGUAAUACGUAGGGGGCAAGCGUUAUCCGGAUUUACUGGGUGUAAAGGGAGCGUAGACGGCAAGGCAAGUCUGAAGUGAAAGCCCGGGGCUUAACCGCGGGACUGCUUUGGAAACUGUCUGGCUGGAGUGCCGGAGAGGUAAGCGGAAUUCCUAGUGUAGCGGUGAAAUGCGUAGAUAUUAGGAGGAACACCAGUGGCGAAGGCGGCUUACUGGACGGUAACUGACGUUGAGGCUCGAAAGCGUGGGGAGCAAACA
This 402-nucleotide ribosomal RNA is filed under the name uncultured bacterium. Its description in RNAcentral is "bacterial SSU rRNA". It matches the Rfam family "Bacterial small subunit ribosomal RNA", at positions 355 to 774 of the family's 1533-position model. The record is from RNAcentral.